RNAcentral lists this ribosomal RNA (400 nucleotides) under phytoplankton environmental sample. RNAcentral's name for it is "partial small subunit ribosomal RNA". It matches the Rfam family "Eukaryotic small subunit ribosomal RNA", at positions 587 to 991 of the family's 1831-position model. The record is from RNAcentral.
AGCUCCAAUAGCGUAUAUUAAAGUUGUUGCAGUUAAAAAGCUCGUAGUUGAACUUCGGCUAGUGUCAAUCUGUCGGCUCUCUGAGUGUGUACGGAUCUGAUGCUAGCUUACCUGGUAAAGGCGCAUGCUGUUCUUAACUGAAUGGUAUGUUGUCUUACCUCUUUUACUGUGAACAAAUUAGAGUGUUUAAAGCAGGCAUUUGCUUGAAUACAUUAGCAUGGAAUAAUGGAAUAGGACUUUGGUUCUAUUUUGUUGGUUUCUAGAACUGAAGUAAUGAUUAAUAGGGAUAGUUGGGGGCAUUCAUAUUUAAUUGUCAGAGGUGAAAUUCUUGGAUUUAUGAAAGAUGAACUUCUGCGAAAGCAUUUGCCAAGGAUGUUUUCAUUAAUCAAGAACGAAAGUA